This 91-nucleotide transfer RNA is filed under the name uncultured Gemmatimonadota bacterium. Its description in RNAcentral is "uncultured Gemmatimonadetes bacterium tRNA-SeC(p)-TCA". It matches the Rfam family "Selenocysteine transfer RNA". The record is from RNAcentral. Lineage: Bacteria; Pseudomonadati; Gemmatimonadota.
GGAGAGAUCAGGUCACUGGUGUGGCCCGCGGUCUUCAAAACCGUGACGCGGGACCGAGUUCCGCGGGCAGGUUCGAUUCCUGUAUCUCUCC